UGAAGCAGACACAUGGGAGAACUUUUUGCUGAGAACAGAGACGUAGUGUUUUUCUGGAAGCUGCCUGGAAAAGGGCAUGGGAUAAUUUGCUGAAGCGGAUGCUUGAGAGGACAUGUGUUGUUUAGAAAGGGUAGACAAAUGCACUUCUUGUGGUAUUCCGGCAGCUUCUUGCCACUUCCGUGGACUCUGGCCGAUGUGGCAGAGCCUUUCAGUUGCUUCUGGAUCAAGCCACCACUGCUGUUUCCUUUGGAAUGAACUGCUGAUAUCAUGAUAAUGAAGAUUAGAACCACACUAAAGAACUAUUUCUAAGCAGAUCUGCUUCCCCCAUGUCCUCAUAAUCUUUCUUUUCUACUACCUCUGGUGGGCGGUAGGUUAAAAGGAAGGAUGAAGCAUUUAAGAAUCCUUAUUAAAGUUGGUUUUGGAAAAAUCUAAGCCAACAUCUCUUUCUCAUUUUCUUUUUCUGUCCCCACUUUCUCUGCCUCUAUUCCCUUAACAGGUCCCUGUUCCCUUCCCUUCCCCCACAAUAAACUUCCCUUAAAUUAGGUCUGUCACACAGUAUGAUUUUCCAGGGGGGCCCUUGGCAGGGGUCUGACAGGUACUCUCUUACCCCCGCCACUGCAUUAUAUAAUGUGAGAUUUCAUAAAAGUAAUGAUCGGUGGUUCACUAUUGACAUAAACUGAGGAUGUUCUAGGGUUCUUUCAAGGGAGAUUAAAUGAAUCUGAAACUCAACAAACAAUAAAUAUGUGCUCCUCA
This is a non-coding RNA of Mus caroli (Ryukyu mouse), 753 nucleotides long. The record is from RefSeq and is a predicted model, not a curated record. Lineage: Eukaryota; Metazoa; Chordata; Mammalia; Rodentia; Muridae.